AGAGAGUCUUGCUGCUUUGAAGUUGAGCUGUGACUUUCAGGAGCAGAAGGUAGAGAUAAUCAGCUCCUUUUGUAGUCUGUGGAUCCUAUUUUAUUUUGCCACUGCCUCUACGGUAUCUGGAAUUUGGAACAGAAGUUCCCCAAAGUCAGUGCCUUCUUGCCAUCUGAGGAUUGCCAUCUGCAAGACAUCAUCAAAAUGGC
Long non-coding RNA from Rhinolophus ferrumequinum (greater horseshoe bat), 200 nucleotides. RefSeq lists it as uncharacterized. The transcript has 3 exons. The record is from RefSeq and is a predicted model, not a curated record. Lineage: Eukaryota; Metazoa; Chordata; Mammalia; Chiroptera; Rhinolophidae.